RNAcentral lists this long non-coding RNA (432 nucleotides) under Olea europaea (common olive). RNAcentral's name for it is "long non-coding RNA (OEUR_LNC006371)". Lineage: Eukaryota; Viridiplantae; Streptophyta; Magnoliopsida; Lamiales; Oleaceae. The record is from RNAcentral.
GGAGUAGGAGCUGACUAGAGAAGAAAUUGAUUUGUGCUCCUUUUCCAUUUUCUGCUCCAGCGUCCCAUUGAAGGAACCAUUUUCAAUGACACAAGCACGUCCAGGUAAAGCAGAUAAUGGCACCUGACCCACAGCAUAUUCAUUUCCAGUUUCCAACAAUAUUGACAUUCUUUUUUCAUUCUCGUUGUUUGACAAGCCAAAUGAUUCAUAUGUUUUGUCGUGGCCAUAUUCGUCCAUCUCAAUACAUUGAACUUCUUUAAAGAUAUCAUCAGAAUCUUUUUCAGUUCCUACCGGAAGUUCCUCUCUCCCCUGACUCGGGUUGGAAGUAUCAUCAGACGAUGAGUGAUACUCACCAUCUUCUGAAAGCAGUACACCUGAUGUCCCAUCACUCCUGAUGUCUCCGCUAUAAGACCGAAUUCUGUUGAGGCUCCC